RNAcentral lists this ribosomal RNA (254 nucleotides) under uncultured bacterium. Its description in RNAcentral is "partial 16S ribosomal RNA". It matches the Rfam family "Bacterial small subunit ribosomal RNA", at positions 524 to 776 of the family's 1533-position model. The record is from RNAcentral.
UACGUAGGGGGCAAGCGUUGUUCGGAAUGACUGGGCGUAAAGGGUGCGUAGGCGGUGUAGCAAGUUAGAAGUGAAAUACCUAGAGCUUAACUCAGGUGCUGCUUCUAAAACUGCUAUACUUGAGUGCAGCAGAGGAAAGUGGAAUUCCUAGUGUAGCGGUGGAAUGCGUAGAUAUUAGGAGGAACAUCAGUGGCGAAAGCGGCUCUCUGGUCUGUAACUGACGCUGAGGUUCGAAAGCGUGGGUAGCAAACAGG